RNAcentral lists this long non-coding RNA (747 nucleotides) under Danio rerio (zebrafish). Its description in RNAcentral is "lncRNA (ENSDARG00000097830.2)". The record is from RNAcentral. Lineage: Eukaryota; Metazoa; Chordata; Actinopteri; Cypriniformes; Danionidae.
AAGAGACAAGACCUUUUCCGUCAUGCUCCUUCAAUGACCUGCCUGUGAUCUCAUGCUAAAAGGCUAUGGUUGUGCCAGCCAAGCAGGAAACAGCCACAGGAAGUGGCUAAAUCAUGAGAUCAGGAGACUGUGGCCUGGCACAGAGUUUGUGAACGAACGGUGGAACAUGUGCUCUUAUGACAAGGUGAUGACAAACCCCCUGGGCCACAAGAAGCACUAAUGCUGAAUGAGUUAUGAAUGGGAUUAAUGGAUUAUUUAUCUCUGAGAAAAAGGGGGAGAACGGGGUUGUUCUGGAUCAAGGUCAGAGAGUGUGGGUGUCUAUUAUGGUGACCACACCAGGCUGGUGAGGACUGCGGCGGGUACCACUGUGAGCUGUGCCUUCUUCAUCAGGCACCCCUGAUGGUAGGGUACCAGCAAGCUGGGUCACAACCUUGCCCACCAUGGAUUGAUGGGAGAUGGCCCCCUGGCCCCCAGACGGCCGCACUCAGAGCCACUCAGCACAGGGACCGUGUGUCAGAGCGGAGGAGAUGGUUAUAAAUCACAGCCCCGUCUGCAGACGGCCUGUCUGCGUAUCAAGGCUUUUUUAACCUUGUUUUCCUCCCUGCUAACCUUUGCUGUGCUCCUUUUGAUGUAUACCGCCAUUAAGGCUAAUGGCACUUCUCUCACGUAAGCCGUUAGCGCUCGUUAGGCGGUGAUCAGCCCGGCGGCCGGGGAAUACAGAUGUGGGCUUAAUAAAUCAAUUAAGCA